AGUGGCGGACGGGUGAGUAACGCGUGAGAAUCUGCCUUGGGGUCGGGGACAACCACUGGAAACGGUGGCUAAUACCGGAUAAGCCGAUUGGUGAAAGAUUUAUUGCCCGAAGAGGAGCUCGCGUCUGAUUAGCUAGUUGGUGAGGUAAGAGCUCACCAAGGCAGCGAUCAGUAGCUGGUCUGAGAGGACGAUCAGCCACACUGGGACUGAGACACGGCCCAGACUCCUACGGGAGGCAGCAGUGGGGAAUUUUCCGCAAUGGGCGAAAGCCUGACGGAGCAAGACCGCGUGAGGGAGGAAGGCUCUUGGGUUGUAAACCUCUUUUCUCAGGGAAGAAGCUCUGACGGUACCUGAGGAAUCAGCCUCGGCUAACUCCGUGCCAGCAGCCGCGGUAAUACGGAGGAGGCAAGCGUUAUCCGGAAUUAUUGGGCGUAAAGCGUCCGCAGGUGGCGAUUCAAGUCUGCUGUCAAAGCACGGGGUUUAACUCCGUAAAGGCAGUGGAAACUGAAUAGCUAGAGUGCCGUAGGGGUAGAGGGAAUUCCCGGUGUAGCGGUGAAAUGCGUAGAGAUCGGGAAGAACAUCGGUGGCGAAAGCGCUCUACUGGACGGCAACUGACACUCAGGGACGAAAGCUAGGGGAGCGAAUGGGAUUAGAUACCCC
Molecule: ribosomal RNA, 660 nt
Filed under: uncultured bacterium
Lineage: Bacteria
Description: bacterial SSU rRNA
Rfam family: Bacterial small subunit ribosomal RNA
Source: RNAcentral